CAGCAGCCGCGGGAAUACGAAGGGUGCAAGCGUUAAUCGGAAUUACUGGGCGUAAAGCGCGCGUAGGUGGUUUGGUAAGAUGGAUGUGAAAUCCCCGGGCUCAACCUGGGAACUGCAUUUGUGACUGUAUAGCUAGAGUACGGCAGAGGGGGAUGGAAUUCCGCGUGUAGCAGUGAAAUGCGUAGAUAUGCGGAGGAACACCGAUGGCGAAGGCAAUCCCCUGGGCCUGUACUGACGCUCAUGCACGAAAGCGUGGGGAGCAAACAGGAUUAGAUACCCCGGUAGUCCCUGUCUCUUAUAA
RNAcentral lists this ribosomal RNA (301 nucleotides) under uncultured bacterium. RNAcentral describes it as "partial 16S ribosomal RNA". It matches the Rfam family "Bacterial small subunit ribosomal RNA", at positions 509 to 809 of the family's 1533-position model. The record is from RNAcentral.